Polypterus senegalus (gray bichir) is the source of this 81-nucleotide non-coding RNA. NCBI's taxonomy places the organism in Eukaryota, Metazoa, Chordata, Cladistia, Polypteriformes, Polypteridae. The record is from the annotation of a RefSeq genome assembly.
GUAGUCGUGGCCGAGUGGUUAAGGCGAUGGACUCGAAAUCCAUUGGGGGUUACCCCGCAGGUUCGAAUCCUGCCGGCUACG